This 318-nucleotide long non-coding RNA is filed under the name Elaeis guineensis (African oil palm). RNAcentral describes it as "long non-coding RNA (EGUI_LNC035548)". The record is from RNAcentral. Lineage: Eukaryota; Viridiplantae; Streptophyta; Magnoliopsida; Arecales; Arecaceae.
GUUUUUGUUUAAUUUCUCCAGUUUGGUUUAAUCUUCCAAUCUUUAUUUUUGUUUAAUUUCUCUCCCUUUUUCUCAUAAUUUAAGGUUUUGCUUUUUGUCUAAUUUCAAUUUUUAUUUUUGUUUAAUUUCUUCCCCUUUUUGACAUCAUCAAACAUAGUUAACUCUUCCUUUUCUUUUUCUGAAAUAUUCUUUAUUUUCUUCUUCUUUAGAGUUUUUCACAGAUGUUUGCUCCCCCUUAAUAUAGCAAUUAUCAACAGCAAACAACAACAAGGAGAAGACACUAUUUCAAAGAAGAAAAUAUAUAACCAUAUGAUCANN